This 70-nucleotide ribosomal RNA is filed under the name Chabertia ovina (large-mouth bowel worm). RNAcentral's name for it is "partial 28S ribosomal RNA". It matches the Rfam family "Eukaryotic large subunit ribosomal RNA", at positions 1 to 68 of the family's 3401-position model. Lineage: Eukaryota; Metazoa; Nematoda; Chromadorea; Rhabditida; Strongylidae. The record is from RNAcentral.
UACAACCUGAGCUCAGUCGUGAUUACCCGCUGAACUUAAGCAUAUCACUUAGCGGAGGAAAAGAAACUAA